Molecule: long non-coding RNA, 968 nt
Organism: Nothobranchius furzeri (turquoise killifish)
Lineage: Eukaryota; Metazoa; Chordata; Actinopteri; Cyprinodontiformes; Nothobranchiidae
Source: RefSeq, a predicted model, not a curated record
CUUUUAAAACAACUUUGAGUGGAUGAAAUCUAGUGAAGAAGUUAUUUUUUAUAAAGUGCCUCUCAAGAUAAAAAUCAUGAGGAGCUUCACGAGAGCAAAAAUUCUAAAUAAAAGGUUAGUUAUAAAAAAACUGAAAAAACAUUUAAAAAUAUGUGAUACAAAUUGGGAAAAUGAAUAAAUACGAACAAAUAAAACUAGAGCUGAAACAACUAAUCGAUUUAAUCGAUUAUAAUCGAUUAUUAAAAUAGUUAACAACUUUUUUAGUCAUCGAUUAGUUGUUUAAUAAUCAUAUUUUACCGCAUAAAGUCUAUUUUUACCACAAUCUGACAUCGGUUACAAGCUGUUAAAUUUGCCGCCAGUGUGUGGCAGUAAUGAGCCACUGAUCUACCAGUGGAGCCGUAGAAGAAGAAAUGAGCCAAUGAGUGCCCUCGGUUUUCAUGACGUAUCACGUUACUGACGCUCAUCUUGCUGUGAGAGAUGGCGGAACAAGAGGAAAUACGGAAGAAAAUAGAAGCGACAAAACUUUAGAGAAACCCCGGACAAAAACCUCACGAGUAUGGGAGCACUUCAGUCUAGAUGCCUUCAAAAGGCAAAAUAUGCAAAAACCAUCUAGCAUGGCACGGAAGCACGACGUCCCUAAGUGAACAUUUGAGACGAAAACGUGGGGGCUGAGGAAGAGCACCGCGGUCAAGUGAGCCGUCAUUUGGAAGAGCCAGCCCGAAAAAAACAAGCAACGAUGGACAACUACAUGGGGAACAAGACACUCACCCCCCAGCAAUUCAUACCACUUACAAACUCUAUUCUAAACAUGCUGGUAAAAGACAUGAGGCCACUAUCCAUGGUGGAAGGAGCAGGCUUCCAGCUAAUGCUAAAAAAUUAUUCUGGACUGAUAUUUUGCACUGUUUAGCUCAUUUUCUACUGCUGACUGUGUUCAUGUGCAAUAAAAUAGAUUGCAGUCAACUGCACAA